This 73-nucleotide transfer RNA is filed under the name Myoviridae sp. ctMvU7. RNAcentral describes it as "tRNA-Ile". It matches the Rfam family "tRNA". From Rfam's summary of the family: Transfer RNA (tRNA) molecules are approximately 80 nucleotides in length. The record is from RNAcentral. Lineage: Duplodnaviria; Heunggongvirae; Uroviricota; Caudoviricetes.
UGGGACGUAGCUCAGUAGGUAGAGCGGCUGGCUUAUAUCCAGCGCGUCGAGGGUUCGAGUCCUUCCGUCCCGA